RNAcentral lists this ribosomal RNA (961 nucleotides) under Geastrum saccatum. RNAcentral's name for it is "eukaryotic LSU rRNA". It matches the Rfam family "Eukaryotic large subunit ribosomal RNA", at positions 1 to 940 of the family's 3401-position model. Lineage: Eukaryota; Fungi; Basidiomycota; Agaricomycetes; Geastrales; Geastraceae. The record is from RNAcentral.
UUUGACCUCAGAUCAGGCAGGACUACCCGCUGAACUUAAGCAUAUCAAUAAGCGGAGGAAAAGAAACUACCAAGGAUUCCCUUAGUAACGGCGAGUGAAGAGGGAAAAGCUCAAAUUUGAAAUCUGGCGGUCUACGGCCGUCCGAGUUGUAAUCUAGAGAAGUGUUUUCCGUGCUGGACCGUGUACAAGUCCUUUGGAACAAGGCGUCAUAGAGGGUGAGAAUCCCGUCUACGACACGGACUACCAGUGCUUUGUGAUACACUCUCAACGAGUCGAGUUGUUUGGGAAUGCAGCUCAAAAUGGGUGGUAAAUUCCAUCUAAAGCUAAAUACAGGCGAAAGACCGAUAGCGAACAAGUACCGUGAGGGAAAGAUGAAAAGCACUUUGGAAAGAGAGUUAAACAGUACGUGAAAUUGUUGAAAGGGAAACGCUUGAAGUCAGUCGCGUCUUCAGAAACUCAGCCGGGCUUUUCUGCCUGGUGUACUUUUCUGUUAGACGGGCCAGCAUCAGUUUGGGUUGCCAGAAAAAGGUGAGGGGAAGGUGGCACCUCCGGGUGUGUUAUAGCCUCUCAUCGUAUGUGGCAGCUGAGACUGAGGACUGCAGCAUGCCUUUAAUGGCCGGGGUUCGCCCACGUAACGUGCUUAGGAUGCUGGCGUAAUGGCUUUAAACGACCCGUCUUGAAACACGGACCAAGGAGUCUAACAUGCCUGCGAGUAUUUGGGUGGCAAACCCAUAUGCGGAAUGAAAGUGAACGGUUGGGACUUCUGUCAUGGAAGGCACCGACGCCCGGACCAGACCUAUUGUGACGGAUCCGAGGUAGAGCAUGUAUGUUGGGACCCGAAAGAUGGUGAACUAUGCCUGAGUAGGGUGAAGCCAGAGGAAACUCUGGUGGAGGCUCGUAGCGAUUCUGACGUGCAAAUCGAUCGUCGAACUUGGGUAUAGUGGCGAAAGACUAAUCGAGC